UACGUAGGGGGCUAGCGUUGUCCGGAUUUAUUGGGCGUAAAGAGCGUGUAGGCGGCCAGGUAGGUCUGCUGUGAAAACUCGAGGCUCAACCUCGAGACGUCGGCGGAAACCAUCUGGCUAGAGUCCGGAAGAGGAGAGUGGAAUUCCUGGUGUAGCGGUGAAAUGCGCAGAUAUCAGGAAGAACACCCGUGGCGAAGGCGGCUCUCUGGGACGGUACUGACGCUGAGACGCGAAAGCUAGGGGAGCGAACGGG
This 253-nucleotide ribosomal RNA is filed under the name uncultured bacterium. RNAcentral describes it as "partial 16S ribosomal RNA". It matches the Rfam family "Bacterial small subunit ribosomal RNA", at positions 524 to 776 of the family's 1533-position model. The record is from RNAcentral.